UACGAAGGGGGCGAGCGUUGUUCGGAAUUACUGGGCGUAAAGGGCGCGUAGGUGGCCAUUUAAGUCAGAGGUGAAAUCCCGAAGCUCAACUUCGGAACUGCCUUUGAAACUGAGUGGCUAGAGUAUGGGAGAGGAUAGUAGAAUUUCCAGUGUAGAGGUGAAAUUCGUAGAUAUUGGAAGGAAUACCGAUGGCGAAGGCAGCUAUCUGGAACAUAACUGACACUGAGGCGCGAAAGCGUGGGUAGCAAACAGG
RNAcentral lists this ribosomal RNA (253 nucleotides) under uncultured bacterium. Its description in RNAcentral is "partial 16S ribosomal RNA". It matches the Rfam family "Bacterial small subunit ribosomal RNA", at positions 524 to 776 of the family's 1533-position model. The record is from RNAcentral.